This 77-nucleotide microRNA precursor is filed under the name Petromyzon marinus (sea lamprey). RNAcentral's name for it is "microRNA pma-mir-4593 precursor". Lineage: Eukaryota; Metazoa; Chordata; Hyperoartia; Petromyzontiformes; Petromyzontidae. The record is from miRBase by way of RNAcentral.
UGAUCAAUGGCCAUCAGGAUCGGUGUGGAGAAGGAUGAGCAACCCUCCUCCAUGAUCAUCGUGGUGGCGUUUGAAGA